RNAcentral lists this ribosomal RNA (233 nucleotides) under uncultured bacterium. RNAcentral's name for it is "partial 16S ribosomal RNA". It matches the Rfam family "Bacterial small subunit ribosomal RNA", at positions 524 to 757 of the family's 1533-position model. The record is from RNAcentral.
GACAGAGGGUGCAAACGUUGUUCGGAAUUACUGGGCGUAAAGCGCGUGUAGGCGGCCCUGCAAGUCGGGUGUGAAAUCCCACGGCUCAACCGUGGAAGUGCACUCGAAACUGCAGGGCUAGAGUCCUGGAGAGGAAGGUGGAAUGCUUGGUGUAGAGGUGAAAUUCGUAGAUAUCAAGCGGAACACCGGUGGCGAAGGCGGCCUCUGGACAGUGACUGACGCUGAGACGCGAA